RNAcentral lists this ribosomal RNA (574 nucleotides) under uncultured Staphylococcus sp. RNAcentral's name for it is "bacterial SSU rRNA". It matches the Rfam family "Bacterial small subunit ribosomal RNA", at positions 61 to 617 of the family's 1533-position model. Lineage: Bacteria; Bacillati; Bacillota; Bacilli; Caryophanales; Staphylococcaceae. The record is from RNAcentral.
GUCGAGCGAACGGACGAGAAGCUUGCUUCUCUGAUGUUAGCGGCGGACGGGUGAGUAACACGUGGAUAACCUACCUAUAAGACUGGGAUAACUUCGGGAAACCGGAGCUAAUACCGGAUAAUAUUUUGAACCGCAUGGUUCAAAAGUGAAAGACGGUCUUGCUGUCACUUAUAGAUGGAUCCGCGCUGCAUUAGCUAGUUGGUAAGGUAACGGCUUACCAAGGCAACGAUGCAUAGCCGACCUGAGAGGGUGAUCGGCCACACUGGGACUGAGACACGGUCCAGACUCCUACGGGAGGCAGCAGUAGGGAAUCUUCCGCAAUGGGCGAAAGCCUGACGGAGCAACGCCGCGUGAGUGAUGAAGGUCUUCGGAUCGUAAAACUCUGUUAUUAGGGAAGAACAUAUGUGUAAGUAACUGUGCACAUCUUGACGGUACCUAAUCAGAAAGCCACGGCUAACUACGUGCCAGCAGCCGCGGUAAUACGUAGGUGGCAAGCGUUAUCCGGAAUUAUUGGGCGUAAAGCGCGCGUAGGCGGUUUUUUAAGUCUGAUGUGAAAGCCCACGGCUCAACCGUG